UUAAGUUCAGCGGGUAGUCCUACCUGAUUUGAGAUCAAACGUUCAAAAGGAGCCAUUCCUCACAGAGGAGAGGCCUUUAUGAGCCCCAGUGAACCUCCAUCGCUGAAGGUUACUUGACGGAAUACCACAAGCGUAGAUAGUUAUCACACCUGCGAUGCCACCAAACACUGGCAAGCUGAUUCGUUUAAGAGGAGCUGACC
Molecule: unclassified non-coding RNA, 200 nt
Filed under: Thelephoraceae sp.
Lineage: Eukaryota; Fungi; Basidiomycota; Agaricomycetes; Thelephorales; Thelephoraceae
Description: partial internal transcribed spacer 2
Source: RNAcentral